This is a long non-coding RNA of Pogoniulus pusillus (Red-fronted tinkerbird), 1019 nucleotides long. RefSeq lists it as uncharacterized. The record is from RefSeq and is a predicted model, not a curated record. Lineage: Eukaryota; Metazoa; Chordata; Aves; Piciformes; Lybiidae. The transcript is spliced from 2 exons.
CUUCGCUCUCCCCCCCACAAUAACGAGAGCCACACCAGAGGCCAGAGCUGUGCUGUCUCAGCAAGCAAAGGGCAAAGGAGGCAACGAGAUGCUGUAGGGACUCUGACUCUUGCUGCCAGGCUGCAACAAGAGGAAGGGAGAUUCUGGCCCCCAACAGGUGAAAACAAGAGAGGAGCAAGGCAGGAAGCACAAAAGCAAACCUCUCUCAUGAAGGAAACAGCACAACUUCAAGCACAGCUUUCAGCACAGCAUACCAAGGAGGAACAGAAAUCCCAAGCAGAGCAGAGGGGAGGAGUGGCUUAGAGAAAAGCAAAAGCACCCCACAAAGCACACAGCCAAAACACCACCCCACAAAGGACACAGCCAACCUACCCCCGCAAAGGGGAGCAGCCAAAGGCUUCUGCCUCUCCUGGGGCAACUUAAAAAGGGGAGGUCAAUUGAAGUCUCCUCCCACCCCAGCUGUGGCCACUUUGCCCUCCCUGCUCAGUGCCCUUUAUAAGCAGAGCAGGAGGAGCCCAGCCCCAAGCUGGGCCCAUUGCGGGCCAAGGGAUCCUCCGCCUGGCAUCCCAGAAAGCAGGAGUCAGCCACCUGCCACCCAUCCCCUCCUGAUCCCAACCCCAGAAACCCAAAGCAGCACUUGGCACAGGAGGUCUCUCGUGUUGCAGUCUCACCUUCACGCCCUGGAAUACUUUGCUUCAGCCAGCAGCAUGGGGUUGGAUACCAACAGCAGAGUCGACUUAACCUGUGACUAAGUGGACUUUAAGUGUUCUGACUCCACAGUAGAACUUGAUAAAGAAAGAUGUGAAUGGAAGCAGGCUCUGACUGCUCUGUGUAACUGAUGAGAAGCUUUCUGAAGGAGGUGAAUUUGUUUUACAGCCCUUCACUCAGCUGGUUACAGAUCUUCAAGGUAGCUGCUGGUGCAGUGUCUGUUGGAGACUGUUAGCCACUCUGAAGGAGGGAGUUAGUGGAGCAUCAUAGGAACAUGUAGAGAGAUUGGUCAGUAAAAGGCAUUUGUGUUA